This is a long non-coding RNA of Pieris brassicae (large cabbage white), 790 nucleotides long. RefSeq lists it as uncharacterized. The transcript is spliced from 3 exons. The record is from RefSeq and is a predicted model, not a curated record. Lineage: Eukaryota; Metazoa; Arthropoda; Insecta; Lepidoptera; Pieridae.
UUCUCAUAUAUAUUUAAACACAAUGUUUUCAAGUAUUAUUUACGUUUUAAGUAAUUGCUAUAGCCGCUAGGACACCCUAUCAAUUUAGUCUAUUGCUUAAAUGUAAAAAAUAUUUUUUUAAGGUCUCUGAUUAAAAUAAUAUAGUUUACCUACCGUGGCUAAAAACGAAACCCUAGCUAGCUAAGGAGGUGGCGAAAAAAUAACGCAGGCCUAUCAUUUUUUUUUCAUGAAAAGGUAGAGCACUGGAAACACAAGUUUUCAUUGAAACUGCCAAAAAUAUUGAAAAAGUAUUCAUUAGAAAAUUACACUGCAAAAUUAAGUGGGUCAAAUCAAACAAUGGAGUGUAAAUAAUACUCUACGUAAGACAGUCGUUGUUUUUUUAUAUAAAAUAGUUCCCUUUUUUCCUGAAAACUGCGUUUUGAAGUUUUCUUUUUGUGGAUUUAUGUAGUCCCUCUUCAAGCAAUAAUCAGCCAUCAUGCUAAUAUCCCUUCUUCCUUGGUAAAGUUUCUCCAUCACCUUUAUGUAUUGAUGGAACCUCUCUCCCUGUUCCUCGCGGACUGGUCCAAGAUUUUGAAGGAAAAGAGUGUAAUGUAGGUGCAGGGAGUGAGCAACAGGCACCGAAUUAUAAUUAUUACCAUUGUGUAACAAGACAUUCUUCAAACUUCUCUUAGAAAAAUCUAUAAUUAACCUCUAUGAUGUGGAAUCGUAAUUGUUAGCUCCGAGUUUCAUGAGUACUUCAUGAAUAUUAUUACACUAGUGAACCCUCUUGAAAUAAAUAAAAGAAAUAUGG